Long non-coding RNA from Alnus glutinosa, 1761 nucleotides. RefSeq lists it as uncharacterized. Lineage: Eukaryota; Viridiplantae; Streptophyta; Magnoliopsida; Fagales; Betulaceae. The transcript has 2 exons. The record is from RefSeq and is a predicted model, not a curated record.
GAUGCACCACGAGUUGCUCCCCAUAAUUAAUAAUAAUAAUAAUCUUAAACCUGAAAGAGCUCAGGGUUGGAAUCUCCAUUCCGUAGAUGCCGCUUGCCAUUCAUUUUCCUUCCAAAUUCCUUUCUCUCCCAUACACAAUUGAUUCAAGAAGCAGAUAUAUGACGGAUUCCACUCCUCUACAGUCGCCAGAUUUGCCUUCGGCGCCCAUGGAGUUGUGAUAGGAGGAAUCUGAAACUCCCUGCCCUUGGGCGUCACGAAGCCAUCCUGUUCCUCCUCCUUCUCCGUUUUGUGUGGAUCCGUCUUGGACGCCGAUGGCGUGACGGAGAUCGCCAAACUCGGAAACUCCGAGCGCGUCGCCUCCAUUCUCACGAUCUAAAGGAUGGAUAGCUAAUGGCUUUGUUUGUGUAAUACGAAGAAGAGCAGCGGUGACAACUAACUAACAAGCGUAGCGUAGCUGGUACCAUAUAUAGUUCUUCUAAGGCGGUGGGUGCCACUUGUCACGGCGUACUCGUUUGCCACGUGUGUUGAUCAUCUGCAUGAAUGCCAGCUGUCACAGCGUACUCGUUUGGCACGUGUGUUGCUCAGGGAUGUUGUAUAUAUUAUCCGAUCACUCAACUGUGCUUGCAUUCAUCUGCCCUCUGGCCCCUCUGUUGCCAAUUCCAGCAGCUCUGCAAGUUUUUCAUGGGAGGCAGAUGCAUACAUAUUAUCCAUUAGCUUCUCCAUUAUUCAUCAUUAUUGAGAGGUUAAAUGACCUGGUGCGGUCAAGAAAACAAUCAUGUGCCGGUGCCAAUCUAUUUUAGAGGAACUGCAGGUAGGCCUUUGUUGGAGAUUGAUUCUGCUAAGCAGAAAUUUAGUCUUGAACUUGAGCAAAGGCGAGAAAACAUGAAGGUACACUUGCCAAUUUGCUCCAGUUAUGACAUUAUUAUUUGUUAUUGUGGUGUGAAGAAAUUUUAUUUUUGAUUUUUUUCCGAGCAAAUGGUACACGAAGAAACAAACUAAAAACAAAAGACAAAGCAAAGCAAAGGGAAGAGAUAAGUAAGUCUAAGGGGGAUUGAUGUACCACGGGGACGGGAGGCAGAGGCACAGAAGAAAUGGGAAUGCUAGCCGACCACUAAUGUUAGUGGAGGUGCCAUGCCAUGUUGCUAGUUAUGUGCAGUCCAAUUUGCACGGCGGUUGAUUAAUAUUUACGGAAAGAACAGGCUGGGAUGUUGCACAGAAUUGAGUGAGCUUCACAUAUGAAAGGAUCUGAUUGCCACUUGACAGAAGUCCUCGUUAAGGAAGGUAAACACCACUACUUAUGAAUUGCCCUCGAAGAUAAUAUUGUUGAAGCCGUCCUCUGCUACUUGCUCGAUGGCAUGGCUGCUCUAGCUUCUCCCACUGAGGAGUCUCAUGGGGGGAGCUUCCUCAUCCAAGCAUGAAGAAGGUUUUGAGAAAUAGCACCUCCCAUAAAAAAUGUCUCAUGGAUCGCCGCAUCAAAAUUUAUCUUGAGAAAACUGCCUCGAGGAGGCGACCACUUCUCAAUUGUUGGUUUUUUUCCCAAAUGUCCACGGUGCUUUUAUCAAACAUAUGAUUUAUCUUACUCUCAUCUCAUGUUCUGAUGUUGGGGAGAAGUAAAUCUGCCACCCUCAGAUUAUAAAGUUGAGGGUCAAUUAUGUCCUUGGGAGGGCUUCAAGCCACCCACAUUAGGGAUUCAUGGGUCUUCCCAUAUUCUGAUGCUAUUACCACUGUUAAUCUUCAAAUAUUGUUUAUGUCGUGUAUUUA